UCUCGGACUAUAUUUUUUUUUUGGUGGUCUGCUGUUUCUUAAAAAUCUAUCAAGCAAACCAUUCUAGUUAGAAGUAUGAUAAAAUCUGAACUCAUAGCUCUUGAUACUAUCUGUUCUGAAGCCAAAUGGCUUAAAGAUCUUCUAUUUGAAAUUUCUUUAAUUUCAUCUCCUAUUCUUUCUAUUUUAAUCCAUUGUGACUCUAGAGCUAUAAUAGAUUUUUGAAAAUAGAAACUUAUAAAUUCAAAGACAAAUAGACAUAUAAAAGUAAGACAAAAGUCUAUAAGAAAACAAAAAACCCUUGAUAU
This 305-nucleotide long non-coding RNA is filed under the name Elaeis guineensis (African oil palm). RNAcentral's name for it is "long non-coding RNA (EGUI_LNC045781)". The record is from RNAcentral. Lineage: Eukaryota; Viridiplantae; Streptophyta; Magnoliopsida; Arecales; Arecaceae.